UCUCCUGAGUCUCGACGAUGUCGAAGGUGUAGCUGGUUCCCUUCUUUCUACAGUCACAGAGUAACAAAGCAUAGGUCAAUCAAGAUCUAGAGCAACAUAAGAUUUACAGAAGACAAAGAUUAUAGUUUCAGACACAGAUCAAGCAUCAAGAUCCAAAAACAGAGAGGUUUCACUCUGCUGUUGGCUCAACAAAAUCGAUAACUCAACGAAUCAGAAACAGGGUCUUUCUCAAAAAAAGAAACAGAGGACACUUACACGCACUGGGUCUUGUCAGCACA
Long non-coding RNA from Arabidopsis thaliana (thale cress), 278 nucleotides. RefSeq annotates it as other RNA. The record is from RefSeq. Lineage: Eukaryota; Viridiplantae; Streptophyta; Magnoliopsida; Brassicales; Brassicaceae. The transcript has a single exon.